AGUACGCUAUGUGAAUCAUCGAAUCUUUGAACGCACCUUGCACAUGCAGAGUCCAUCUGCACGUAUACCUGUUUGAGUGGCAUCAACACAUAUCCAGAUUGUUUGAUCUGGGAGUUGGGGCAGCAAGUAACAAUUGCGCCUCUAAAUGCAGCGAGGGACGGCAAGGCGCGCGCUUUGUUCAAGUGAGGAUGUUUGCCGCGUGCAAAACUAAUCGCGCGAACGCAGCGCAAGCGGAUGCGUGCACAACUCGACCAACAAAACACUUAAAAACAAUGCCCUCAAGUCAGGCAAGAGGACCCGCCGAACUUAGGCAUAUCAAUAAGCGGAGG
Molecule: ribosomal RNA, 329 nt
Filed under: Asparagales environmental sample
Lineage: Eukaryota; Viridiplantae; Streptophyta; Magnoliopsida; Asparagales
Description: eukaryotic LSU rRNA
Rfam family: 5.8S ribosomal RNA (bases 1-82)
Source: RNAcentral